This 482-nucleotide ribosomal RNA is filed under the name uncultured bacterium. RNAcentral's name for it is "partial 16S ribosomal RNA". It matches the Rfam family "Bacterial small subunit ribosomal RNA", at positions 30 to 506 of the family's 1533-position model. The record is from RNAcentral.
UUGAACGCUGGCGGCAGGCCUAACACAUGCCAGUCGAGCGGAUGAAGGGAGCUUGCUCCUGGAUUCAGCGGCGGACGGGUGAGUAAUGCCUAGGAAUCUGCCUGGUAGUGGGGGAUAACGUCCGGAAACGGGCGCUAAUACCGCAUACGUCCUGAGGGAGAAAGUGGGGGAUCUUCGGACCUCACGCUAUCAGAUGAGCCUAGGUCGGAUUAGCUAGUUGGUGGGGUAAAGGCCUACCAAGGCGACGAUCCGUAACUGGUCUGAGAGGAUGAUCAGUCACACUGGAACUGAGACACGGUCCAGACUCCUACGGGAGGCAGCAGUGGGGAAUAUUGGACAAUGGGCGAAAGCCUGAUCCAGCCAUGCCGCGUGUGUGAAGAAGGUCUUCGGAUUGUAAAGCACUUUAAGUUGGGAGGAAGGGCAGUAAGUUAAUACCUUGCUGUUUUGACGUUACCAACAGAAUAAGCACCGGCUAACUUCGU